AUUGAACGCUGGCGGCAUGCCUUACACAUGCAAGUCGAACGGCAACGGGCCUUCGGGUGCCGCCGAGGGGCGGAGGGGGGCGUAAUACAUCGGAACGUGCCCGAACGUGGGGGAUAACGGGGCGAAAGCUUGGCUAAUACCGCAUACGACCUACGGAUGAAAGCAGGGGACCGCAAGGCCUCGCGCGGCCGUGGGGGCCGAUGGCAGAUUAGGUAGUUGGUGGGAUAAAAGCUUACCAAGCCGACGAUCUGUAGCUGGUCUGAGAGGAUGAUCAGCCACACUGGGACUGAGACACGGCCCAGACUCCUACGGGAGGCAGCAGUGGGGAAUUUUGGACAAUGGGCGCAAGCCUGAUCCAGCCAUGCCGCGUGCGGGAAGAAGGCCUUCGGGUUGUAAACUGCUUUUGUUCGGAAAGAAAAGCCGUAUUUUAAUACAGGGGUGUCAUGACGGUACCGUAAGAAUAAGCACCGGCUAACUACGUG
This 482-nucleotide ribosomal RNA is filed under the name uncultured bacterium. Its description in RNAcentral is "partial 16S ribosomal RNA". It matches the Rfam family "Bacterial small subunit ribosomal RNA", at positions 29 to 507 of the family's 1533-position model. The record is from RNAcentral.